CUGCAAUACUAACCUUGUGCCCUGUUGUGUGCAAUCUGGCAUGGCCUGGGCUUUGCUGUGCUGCUGGCUGUCAACCCAUUGUGCUCAGGAGCUGGGAUUUUGCUGGGCAGGACACUGCUGGAUGCUCCAGCAGAGCAGAAGGAGAUGGGUUAGGCCCAGCCCCAUUUCCCCUCCGCUCUCCUGACUUAUGGCUCUCCUUAUUCUCCUAGGAAAGUGCCACAACAGAUCUAAGGUUGCAGAGGUUUUGUGUGUGUUGCCACUGGACGCCUGAAGGAAAUGGCAGAGGGAGAAGACUGUUCCAGGGAAUUAGUUGCUUUGUGCCCCAGCUGAAGGAAAAGACAGAAGAAAGUCACUGCACACUCCUGUUGCUUGAGGAGAGCCUUGGCCAGCCUCUGCUGAGCUCAGACUACUUGGGGAGAAGUACGACAGAAGACUCAAAUAACCUUGCAGCACUUAAUUGAAUGUUGCCCUGAGGGAAGUUGACUGCUGGAUGGGACAAACUGCUAAAGAAGCGAAGAAGAGGAACAGAUACUGAGAAUAAAAGACUCACAUUCCUGACUGCUAGGGUAAUUUAAGCUGCUGAAGAUUUACUGGUGUUAUACACUGAAGAGAGGAUUAUUUGGCAAAAGAGAAAAUGUUCCCCUUUCAGGAUCCCCAUGGGCAAAUGGAAGAGGGAGGAAUGGCCAGCUUACCAUUAGAGAUGUUGUCAGCUGCCAACUGGCAAUGUCAGGUGGACAUCAGUACAGAUUUCUUUGUCCAAACUGCUGAGAAGGUCUGUGAUAAUUGGAACAGCACUAAAAUGCAGUUUAGAGAUCCUGCAAAAUGUAGUUGUUCUGUUCCUGGAAGGAGUGGGACACUGCAGGCUCCUGACAUGUCUUUCCUAAAUUCUGUCCUAGUUUGAAGUGUACUUCUUAUUCCAAUGCAAAGUCAAUGCUUAUUUUUAACUCCCUCAAGUGUUUCGGCCAUGUUAUAGCUGGGUCCCGCUGCUAACAUAAUUAAGAUCUCCCACCCUGAGACCAGCUCUUCUCAGCAGUCUGCCACAGCCUGCUUUCAGCAUGCCAGGUAACAGCAUGCUGGUCCUGUGCUUUGUUUCAUGGCCCUCUGCUUUCAUUUAUGCAUGUGGAGGAGGAUGCCCACUGUCCUCAAGAGAGGAAAUUGCACCAUCACUCUGGUGAGUCUGAGGGUGAGCCUUCAUACCGUAGCUGUGGGACUCCAUUGAUGGAAGGUGCCAGCAGCACGGUUUUGUUCUCCUCUCAUCUCCCUUAGCUGUUGUAUAUGAUAAUAAAGAUACUUCCUCAAGUGUGACCUGACA
This 1312-nucleotide long non-coding RNA is filed under the name Numida meleagris (helmeted guineafowl). Its description in RNAcentral is "lncRNA (ENSNMEG00000002345.1)". The record is from RNAcentral. Lineage: Eukaryota; Metazoa; Chordata; Aves; Galliformes; Numididae.